CAUUCGAGGUGGCGGACGGGUGAGUAACGCGUGGGUAACCUGCCUUACACAGGGGGAUAACACCUGGAAACAGGUGCUAAUACCGCAUAAGCGCACAGGGCCGCAUGGCCCGGUGUGAAAAACUCCGGUGGUGUAAGAUGGACCCGCGUCUGAUUAGCUUGUUGGCGGGGUAGGGGCCCACCAAGGCGACGAUCAGUAGCCGGCCUGAGAGGGUGGACGGCCACAUUGGGACUGAGACACGGCCCAAACUCCUACGGAAGGCAGCAG
This 267-nucleotide ribosomal RNA is filed under the name uncultured bacterium. RNAcentral's name for it is "partial 16S ribosomal RNA". It matches the Rfam family "Bacterial small subunit ribosomal RNA", at positions 87 to 354 of the family's 1533-position model. The record is from RNAcentral.